RNAcentral lists this ribosomal RNA (246 nucleotides) under uncultured bacterium. RNAcentral describes it as "partial 16S ribosomal RNA". It matches the Rfam family "Bacterial small subunit ribosomal RNA", at positions 103 to 334 of the family's 1533-position model. The record is from RNAcentral.
CGGGUGAGUAACACGUGGGUAACCUGCCCGGAGGUGGGGGAUAACUCUUCGAAAGGAGAGCUAAUACCGCAUAACAUCCCGAGUACUUCGGUACACGGAAUCAAAGUUUGCCUCUGUUUCAUGCAAACGCCACCGGAGGGACCCGCGCCCCAUUAGCUUGAUGGUGAGGUAACGGCUCACCAUGGCUACGAUGGGUAGCCGGCCUGAGAGGGUGAUCGGCCACACUGGAACUGAGACACGGUCCAG